AUCGCUUCUUGGCCUUUUGGCUAAGAUCAAGUGAAUGUGUUUGCAUGUGUACAUGCAUAUGUGUUUGCAUGUGUACAUGUAUGCAUGUAUGUUCGUGUGUGUGUGUGUGUGUGUGUGUGUGCACGCACGCAUGUACUUUAACAGGACACCAGACUUAGCAGGUACUUCUUUC
This 172-nucleotide small nuclear RNA is filed under the name Mus musculus (house mouse). RNAcentral describes it as "U2 spliceosomal RNA". It matches the Rfam family "U2 spliceosomal RNA". Rfam says of the family: U2 is a small nuclear RNA (snRNA) component of the spliceosome (involved in pre-mRNA splicing). Lineage: Eukaryota; Metazoa; Chordata; Mammalia; Rodentia; Muridae. The record is from Rfam by way of RNAcentral.